This 401-nucleotide ribosomal RNA is filed under the name uncultured bacterium. RNAcentral describes it as "bacterial SSU rRNA". It matches the Rfam family "Bacterial small subunit ribosomal RNA", at positions 355 to 773 of the family's 1533-position model. The record is from RNAcentral.
UCGGGAAUUUUGGGCAAUGGGCGAAAGCCUGACCCAGCAACGCCGCGUGAGGGAUGAAGUAUUUCGGUAUGUAAACCUCGAAAGAAUGGGAAGAAUAAAUGACGGUACCAUUUAUAAGCUCCGGCUAACUACGUGCCAGCAGCCGCGGUAAUACGUAGGGAGCAAGCGUUGUUCGGAUUUACUGGGCGUAAAGGGCGCGUAGGCGGCGCGGUAGGUCACUUGUGAAAUCUCUGAGCUUAACUCAGAACGGCCAAGUGAUACUGCUGUGCUAGAGUGCGGAAGAGGCAACCGGAAUUCUUGGUGUAGCGGUGAAGUGCGUAGAUAUCAAGAGGAACACCUGAGGCGAAGGCGGGUUGCUGGGCCGACACUGACGCUGAUGCGCGAAAGCCAGGGGAGCAAAC